UACGAAGGGGGCGAGCGUUGUUCGGAUUUACUGGGCGUAAAGGGCGCGCAGGCGGCGCAUUUUGUCAGGCGUGAAAGCCCCGGGCUUAACCUGGGAACUGCGUUUGAUACGGAUGGGCUAGAGUUCGGGAGAGGAGAGUGGAAUUCCCAGUGUAGAGGUGAAAUUCGUAGAUAUUGGGAGGAACACCAGUGGCGAAGGCGGCUCACUGGACCGGAACUGACGCUGAUGCGCGAAAGCGUGGGGAGCAAACGGG
RNAcentral lists this ribosomal RNA (253 nucleotides) under uncultured bacterium. RNAcentral's name for it is "partial 16S ribosomal RNA". It matches the Rfam family "Bacterial small subunit ribosomal RNA", at positions 524 to 776 of the family's 1533-position model. The record is from RNAcentral.